This 486-nucleotide ribosomal RNA is filed under the name uncultured organism. RNAcentral describes it as "bacterial SSU rRNA". It matches the Rfam family "Bacterial small subunit ribosomal RNA", at positions 29 to 507 of the family's 1533-position model. The record is from RNAcentral.
AACGAACGCUGGCGGCGUGCCUAACACAUGCAAGUCGAGCGCGAAUCCUUGCUUCGGCAGGGUAGUAGAGCGGCGAACGGGUGCGUAACACGUGAGUCAUUUGCCCUCAAGAAGGGGAUAACGUACCGAAAGGUUCGCUAAUACCCUAUAAGCUCCCGGAGGUUCGUGCCUCUGUGAGAAAAGGUUGCGAAGUCGCUUGAGGAGAAGCUCGCGUCCCAUUAGCUAGUUGGUGAGGUAACGGCUCACCAAGGCGACGAUGGGUAGCUGGUCUAAGAGGAUGAUCAGCCACACUGGGACUGAGACACGGCCCAGACUCCUACGGGAGGCAGCAGUGGGGAAUCUUGCGCAAUGGGCGAAAGCCUGACGCAGCAACGCCGCAUGAGCGAUGAAGGUCUUCGGAUCGUAAAGCUCUGUCCUGGGGAACGAAAAGCAGGUGAAGAGCCUGCGCUGACGGUACCCCAGAAGAAAGCACCGGCUAACUCUGUG